This 496-nucleotide ribosomal RNA is filed under the name uncultured bacterium. Its description in RNAcentral is "partial 16S ribosomal RNA". It matches the Rfam family "Bacterial small subunit ribosomal RNA", at positions 28 to 506 of the family's 1533-position model. The record is from RNAcentral.
GAUGAACGCUGGCGGCGUGCCUAAUACAUGCAAGUCGAGCGAACAGACGAGGAGCUUGCUCCUCUGACGUUAGCGGCGGACGGGUGAGUAACACGUGGAUAACCUACCUAUAAGACUGGGAUAACUUCGGGAAACCGGAGCUAAUACCGGAUAAUAUAUUGAACCGCAUGGUUCAAUAGUGAAAGACGGUUUUGCUGUUACUUAUAGAUGGAUCCGCGCCGCAUUAGCUAGUUGGUAAGGUAACGGCUUACCAAGGCAACGAUGCGUAGCCGACCUGAGAGGGUGAUCGGCCACACUGGAACUGAGACACGGUCCAGACUCCUACGGGAGGCAGCAGUAGGGAAUCUUCCGCAAUGGGCGAAAGCCUGACGGAGCAACGCCGCGUGAGUGAUGAAGGUCUUCGGAUCGUAAAACUCUGUUAUUAGGGAAGAACAAAUGUGUAAGUAACUAUGCACGUCUUGACGGUACCUAAUCAGAAAGCCACGGCUAACUACGU